RNAcentral lists this ribosomal RNA (460 nucleotides) under uncultured bacterium. RNAcentral describes it as "partial 16S ribosomal RNA". It matches the Rfam family "Bacterial small subunit ribosomal RNA", at positions 338 to 795 of the family's 1533-position model. The record is from RNAcentral.
CCUACGGGUGGCAGCAGUGAGGAAUAUUGGUCAAUGGACGAGAGUCUGAACCAGCCAAGUAGCGUGAAGGAUGACUGCCCUAUGGGUUGUAAACUUCUUUUAUAUGGGAAUAAAAUGUUCCACGUGUGUGAUUUUGUAUGUACCAUAUGAAUAAGGAUCGGCUAACUCCGUGCCAGCAGCCGCGGUAAUACGGAGGAUCCGAGCGUUAUCCGGUUUUACUGGGUUUAAAGGGGGCGUAGGUGGAUUGUUAAGUCAGGUGUGAAAGGUUGCGGCUCAACCGGAAAAUUGCAGUUGAAACUGGCAGGGUUGAGUAAAGGAGAGGUGGGUGGAAUUCGUGGUGUAGCGGUGAAAUGCUUAGAUAUAACGAAGAAAUCCGAUUGCGAAGGCAGCUCACUGGACUGCAACUGACACUGAGGCUCGAAAGUGUGGGUAGCAAACAGGAUUAGAUACCCUGGUAGUC